GUAGUCCACGCCCUAAACGAUGUCAACUAGUUGUUCGGUGAGGAGACUCAUUGAGUAACGCAGCUAACGCGUGAAGUUGACCGCCUGGGGAGUACGGCCGCAAGGUUAAAACUCAAAGGAAUUGACGGGGACCCGCACAAGCGGUGGAUGAUGUGGAUUAAUUCGAUGCAACGCGAAAAACCUUACCUACCCUUGACAUGCCAGGAACUUGCCAGAGAUGGCUUGGUGCUCGAAAGAGAGCCUGGACACAGGUGCUGCAUGGCUGUCGUCAGCUCGUGUCGUGAGAUGUUGGGUUAAGUCCCGCAACGAGCGCAACCCUUGUCGUUAAUUGCCAUCAUUAAGUUGGGCACUUUAGCGAGACUGCCGGUGACAAACCGGA
Molecule: ribosomal RNA, 379 nt
Filed under: uncultured bacterium
Lineage: Bacteria
Description: bacterial SSU rRNA
Rfam family: Bacterial small subunit ribosomal RNA
Source: RNAcentral